This 469-nucleotide ribosomal RNA is filed under the name uncultured bacterium. Its description in RNAcentral is "partial 16S ribosomal RNA". It matches the Rfam family "Bacterial small subunit ribosomal RNA", at positions 28 to 507 of the family's 1533-position model. The record is from RNAcentral.
GACGAACGCUGGCGGCGUGCUUAACACAUGCAAGUCGAACGGAAAGGCCCUGCUUGCAGGGUGCUCGAGUGGCGAACGGGUGAGUAACACGUGGGUGAUCUGCCCCUUAUUUUGGGAUAAGCCUGGGACACUGGGUCUAAUACUGGAUAGGACCAUGCUGUAGGUGGUGUGGUGGAAAGAUUAGUUUCGGUAAGGGAUGAGCUCGCGGCCUAUCAGCUUGUUGGUGGGGUAAUGGCCUACCAAGGCGUCGACGGGUAGCCGGCCUGAGAGGGUGGACGGCAACAUUGGGACUGAGAUACGGCGCAGACUCCUACGGGAGGCAGCAGUGGGGAAUAUUGCACAAUAGGCGCAAGCCGGAUGCAGCGACGCCGCGUGGGGGAUGACGGCCUUCGGGUUGUAAACUCCUUUGAGCCAUGACGAAGCCCUCGUGGUGACGGUAGUGGUAGAAGAAGCACCGGCUAACUACGUG